GGAUGUUAGCGGCGGACGGGUGAGUAACACGUGGGUAACCUGCCUGUAAGACUGGGAUAACUCCGGGAAACCGGAGCUAAUACCGGAUAGUUCCUUGAACCGCAUGGUUCAAGGAUGAAAGACGGUUUCGGCUGUCACUUACAGAUGGACCCGCGGCGCAUUAGCUAGUUGGUGAGGUAACGGCUCACCAAGGCGACGAUGCGUAGCCGACCUGAGAGGGUGAUCGGCCACACUGGGACUGAGACACGGCCCAGACUCCUACGGGAGGCAGCAGUAGGGAAUCUUCCGCAAUGGACGAAAGUCUGACGGAGCAACGCCGCGUGAGUGAUGAAGGUUUUCGGAUCGUAAAGCUCUGUUGUUAGGGAAGAACAAGUGCAAGAGUAACUGCUUGCACCUUGACGGUACCUAACCAGAAAGCCACGGCUAACUACGUGCCAGCAGCCGCGGUAAUACGUAGGUGGCAAGCGUUGUCCGGAAUUAUUGGGCGUAAAGGGCUCGCAGGCGGUUUCUUAAGUCUGAUGUGAAAGCCCCCGGCUCAACCGGGGAGGGUCAUUGGAAACUGGGAAACUUGAGUGCAGAAGAGGAGAGUGGAAUUCCACGUGUAGCGGUGAAAUGCGAAGAGAUGUGGAGGAACACCAGUGGCGAAGGCGACUCUCUGGUCUGUAACUGACGCUGAGGAGCGAAAGCGUGG
Molecule: ribosomal RNA, 691 nt
Filed under: Bacillus altitudinis
Lineage: Bacteria; Bacillati; Bacillota; Bacilli; Caryophanales; Bacillaceae
Description: bacterial SSU rRNA
Rfam family: Bacterial small subunit ribosomal RNA
Source: RNAcentral